UGUGCUAAUACCGCAUAAUCUCUCAGGAGAAAAGCAGGGGAUCGCAAGACCUUGCGCUUUAGGAGCGGCCGAUGCCUGAUUAGCUUGUUGGUAAGGUAAAAGCUUACCAAGGCUUCGAUCAGUAGCUGGUCUGAGAGGACGACCAGCCACACUGGGACUGAGACACGGCCCAGACUCCUACGGGAGGCAGCAGUGGGGAAUUUUGGACAAUGGGGGAAACCCUGAUCCAGCCAUGCCGCGUGAGUGAAGAAGGCCUUCGGGUUGUAAAGCUCUUUCAGCCGGAACGAAACGG
Molecule: ribosomal RNA, 292 nt
Filed under: uncultured Pseudomonadota bacterium
Lineage: Bacteria; Pseudomonadati; Pseudomonadota
Description: uncultured proteobacterium partial 16S ribosomal RNA
Rfam family: Bacterial small subunit ribosomal RNA
Source: RNAcentral